UACGUAGGGGGCAAGCGUUGUCCGGAAUCAUUGGGCGUAAAGCGCGUGUAGGCGGCUCGAUAAGUCUGCUGUGAAAGUUCAGGGCUCAACCCUGAAAUGCCGGUGGAUACUGUCGGGCUCGAGUCCGGAAGAGGAGUGUGGAAUUCCUGGUGUAGCGGUGAAAUGCGCAGAUAUCAGGAGGAACACCAAUGGCGAAGGCAGCACUCUGGGACGUGACUGACGCUGAGACGCGAAAGCGUGGGGAGCAAACAGG
This 253-nucleotide ribosomal RNA is filed under the name uncultured bacterium. RNAcentral describes it as "partial 16S ribosomal RNA". It matches the Rfam family "Bacterial small subunit ribosomal RNA", at positions 524 to 776 of the family's 1533-position model. The record is from RNAcentral.